AGUGAACGCUGGCGGCAGGCCUAACACAUGCAAGUCGAGCGGCAGCGGGUCCUUCGGGAUGCCGGCGAGCGGCGGACGGGUGAGGAAUGCGUCGGAAUCUGCCUUUUUGUGGGGGAUAACGUAGGGAAACUUACGCUAAUACCGCAUACGACCUACGGGUGAAAGUGGGGGACCGCAAGGCCUCACGCAGAAAGAUGAGCCGACGUCGGAUUAGCUAGUUGGCGGGGUAAAGGCCCACCAAGGCGACGAUCCGUAGCUGGUCUGAGAGGAUGAUCAGCCACACUGGAACUGAGACACGGUCCAGACUCCUACGGGAGGCAGAAGUGGGGAAUAUGGGACAAUGGGCGCAAGCCUGAUCCAGCCAUGCCGCGUGUGUGAAGAAGGCCUUCGGGUUGUAAAGCACUUUUGUCCGGAAAGAAAUCCUGUCGGCUAAUACCCGGCGGGGAUGACGGGACCGGAAGAAUAAGCACCGGCUAACUUCG
RNAcentral lists this ribosomal RNA (482 nucleotides) under uncultured bacterium. RNAcentral describes it as "partial 16S ribosomal RNA". It matches the Rfam family "Bacterial small subunit ribosomal RNA", at positions 30 to 505 of the family's 1533-position model. The record is from RNAcentral.